CGAAAAAAACCAUAACGUAAAUAAACCUUCAUUUACUAAAUCGACGUAUGCUGAUCAAUGCUGUGCCUAAGUUGUGUGAUGCAAGCAAACAACCUGUAAUUUACAACAAAGGAAAACAACUAGAAGUUUAAUGCGUCAAGAAUGUAUGACAUUUUUACCCAAAGCAAGCGCAUAAAGUUGAAGUGAUUCAAAUUGUUGAGCAACAUACGCCAAGUUCAUUCGAUGCAGAAGAGGACUUAGGACCAGAAAGUGAUAACAAGAUACAACAAAUUCAUUCUAAAAGCAUAAUUUUGAAUGCAUUUAUCGUCAAAUAAAUUGUGGAAAUAAAUAUAUAGUAGUUUA
Ciona intestinalis (vase tunicate) is the source of this 342-nucleotide non-coding RNA. NCBI's taxonomy places the organism in Eukaryota, Metazoa, Chordata, Ascidiacea, Phlebobranchia, Cionidae. The record is from RefSeq and is a predicted model, not a curated record.